RNAcentral lists this ribosomal RNA (2031 nucleotides) under Dichotomaria marginata. RNAcentral's name for it is "LSU rRNA". It matches the Rfam family "Eukaryotic large subunit ribosomal RNA", at positions 59 to 2169 of the family's 3401-position model. The record is from RNAcentral. Lineage: Eukaryota; Rhodophyta; Florideophyceae; Nemaliales; Galaxauraceae.
AAGGAACUAACAAGGAUUCCCCCAGUAGCGGCGAGCGAAGCGGGAAGAGCGCGGUUUGAAAAUCUCUUCGGAGAAUUGUAUUCGAGUGUCCUUGGGUGGUCAGUGCGAGAAAGUCGCUUGGAAUGGCGCGCCAUGGAGGGUGAGAGCCCCGUCCAUCUCGCACAGGAUCCAUCCGCACGAGGGCACUUCAGCCGAGUCGGGUAGCUUGGGAAUGCUGCUCUAAUUGGUGGUAAAUCUCAUCAAAGGCUAAAUAACGGUGGGAGACCGAUAGCGAACAAGUACCGUGAGGGAAAGAUGGAAAGGACUUUGAAAAGAGAGUGAAAAGCACUUGAAACCGUCACGGGGGAAGCGGAUUGCGUGAGUGGUGGUGCUGUUCAGCGCGAUUUUUUUUUUUUUGCGUGUAUUCUGGCGGUGCCUCGUUGCUGUGGCUGGCUGGCGCGUGAUGGGUUUUCGGCCUGACGCGCUCGACUGGUGAGGGCUCUCCUAUUUUUUAGGGUUUCAGAGGACAGCAGCGAAAUGACGCAAUACGACCCGUCUUGAAACACGGACCAAGGAGUCUAGCACGCCUGCGAGUCGAAGAGUGUAAAAAACUCAAUAGGGCGCAGUGAAAGCGAAAUGAUAAGCAAAUUGGGGAGGCGCUGCGUUUUUAACAAAAUGUCCUACCUUGAGCACUUGUGCUGGGACCCGAAAGAUGGUGAACUAUGCCGGAGUAGGGCAAAGCCAGAGGAAACUCUGGUGGAGGCUCGUAGCGAUGCUGACGUGCAAAUCUCUCGUCGAACUUGGGUAUAGGGGCGAAAGACUAAUCGAACCAUCUAGUAGCUGGUUCCCUCCGAAGUUUCUCUCAGGAUAGCGGGCCGACACCGAUGUUGUUUUGUGCGGUAAAGCGAAUGAUUAGUGCAGUUGGGGGACGAAGUCCUUCGGGCGAUUCUCAAACUUUAAAUGCGCAAGGGAGUGGCUGCUUAAACACUGAGCCUACUCUCUGAAAAACGUCGGCCCUGUGGGCCACUUUUGGUAAGCAGAACUGGCGAUAAGGGAUGAACCUUAAGCGCGGUUAAGGCGCCGCAUUGCCCGCUUAUAGACCCCACAAAAGGUGUUGAUUCAUUUAGACAGCAGGACCGUGGCCNNNNNNNNNGGAAUCCGCUAAGGAGUGUGUAACAACUCACCUGCCGAAUGAAUUAGCCCUGAAAAUGGAUGGCGCUGAAGCGGGCAGCCGACACCGCGCCGUUCCGGCGAGUCGCGUGCCGGGAUGAGUAGGAGGGCGUGGCGGUCAGUGAAGCAGGCGAGGGUGCAGACCCCGCUGAAACGGCCGCUAGUGCAGAUCUUGGUGGUAGUAGCAAAUAUUCAAGCGAGAUCCUUGAAGGGCGAAGCGGGGAAGGGUUCCACGCCAACAUUGAUUGGGCGUGGGUGAGUCGUUCCUAAGCCGAGUGGCAAUUGCUAAGUAGCGGCGAAAGGGAAGCGGGUUAAAAUUCCCGCACACGGAUAUGGAGGCGGCGACGCAAGCAGAGGCGAAUACGCUGGCGAGGGCGCCGGGCAGAGUUGUCUUUUCUGUUUGACCGGCAUCGAGCUGUGUGGAAUCCGCUUAUCGGGAGAAACACGCUCGGGUAGGGGCAGAGCGUCAGGUCUUUUCUGGCGUCCGGCUCGCCCUCGACGGCCCCUGAAAAUUCGUCCGCGAUUUCUUUUCUUCCUCCCCGCACAAAGGGGUGGAAAGAGCAAAUUUCAUGCUGUGACGUACCGAUAACCGCAUCAGGUCCCCAAGGUGAACAGCCUCUGCUCAAUAUGAACAAUGCAGGUAAGGGAAGUCGGCAAAAUAGACCCGUAACUUUGGGAAAAGGGUUGGCUCUAGUGGAGCGGGGGUUUUCAAAGGGGGCUCACCUGUGCUUGUCGUGGGGCGGACAUGGCUAGCUUCCGCUGGACGUGACUGCUCCGCGCCUUGCGUGGGGGACGCUACUCGCCCUCAGCAUGCUCCAGACUAGAACUGCAACGGGCAAGGGGAAUCCGACUGUUUAAUUAAAACAAAGCAUUGCGAAGGCC